GACGAACGCUGGCGGUAUGCUUAACACAUGCAAGUCGAACGAGACGAGAUGGAAGGAUCCUUCGGGUGACGGAAAUCUUAGAAAGUGGCGAACGGGUGAGUAACGCGUGGGUAACCUGCCCUAUGGAAAGGAAUAGCCUCGGGAAACUGGGAGUAAUGCCUUAUAAUAUAUCGAAGUCGCAAGGCUUUGAUAUUAAACGCUCCGGUGCCAUAGGAUGGACCCGCGUCCCAUUAGCUAGUUGGUGAGAUAACAGCCCACCAAGGCGACGAUGGGUAACCGGUCUGAGAGGGCGAACGGUCACACUGGAACUGAGACACGGUCCAGACUCCUACGGGAGGCAGCAGUGGGGAAUAUUGCGCAAUGGGGGCAACCCUGACGCAGCAAUACCGCGUGAGUGAAGAAGGUUUUCGGAUCGUAAAGCUCUGUUAUUGGGGAAGAAAAAAGACGGUACCCAAGAAGAAAGUCCCGGCUAACUACGUGCCAGCCGCCGCCGUAA
RNAcentral lists this ribosomal RNA (496 nucleotides) under uncultured bacterium. RNAcentral's name for it is "partial 16S ribosomal RNA". It matches the Rfam family "Bacterial small subunit ribosomal RNA", at positions 28 to 523 of the family's 1533-position model. The record is from RNAcentral.